This 37-nucleotide non-coding RNA is filed under the name Desertifilum tharense IPPAS B-1220. RNAcentral also lists the same sequence under 1 other name. The record is from RNAcentral. Lineage: Bacteria; Bacillati; Cyanobacteriota; Cyanophyceae; Desertifilales; Desertifilaceae.
AUUGCAAUUACUCCUAAUCCCUAUUAGGGAUUGAAAC